Molecule: long non-coding RNA, 1799 nt
Organism: Peromyscus californicus insignis
Lineage: Eukaryota; Metazoa; Chordata; Mammalia; Rodentia; Cricetidae
Exons: 2
Source: RefSeq, a predicted model, not a curated record
CUAGAAUGGAAAGUUCCCUGGAGAGGCUGCGUUACAUAGAAGAAGGCAUGUGGAGACUUUUUGGAGAGAGAGGUUAAUGUCUUUCUUAUCUUCUCCCCGAACCCUGGCCUAGAAGCAUCGGGGUGAACAUUUGCUGUGACUUAACAGUAAGAGGACGGCCAGCCACGGUCAGACCCAGUGGGUAGCAGUCUGGGAACCGGAGGGAGCCUAGGGAGGAGCUGGCGUCUGCUCCCAGUUAUGUAAGGAAUUUCCCGCUCUGAAUCGCCAUGCCAAUAACCACAGCCUCAGCAGCUUGUCUCCUGGCCACCGUCCGUGAAUUUCCAAAAACACCUCAGAAGCAAUUUCACAUUUGUCUUUAACAGUCAAAUCCAGCCCAGGACCAGUUCAUUUCCGAAUCUGAUUUUGGACGGCUUACCUCAAAUGGCUCUGGGUGUCAGUGGAGAGGACACAAAGGCGUUCCAGUUGAAGACUUGGAUGCUCUUCCCUGGGACAGUGAACCUAGUGACAUUGGAACCAGGGUAUACGCCAAAGCCACGCCUGCCUUGCUGGCUUUUCCUGCCUCUCUGGUGACAGCUAGCCCUGCCUGAGCACUGAGGCAGCCUUAUAUUCUGGAACUUCUGGACUCCCUUCUCCCAGCCCUUGGCUCCUCUGAGUCUCCUACCUGCUCUUGUCUUCCAGCCUGCCAGCCCUGACAGGGUCUUUCUGUUAGGAGGAUGAGCUCAGCAAACAUCACCGGAGGAAGGGGGCAGGAAUGAGUUUCUGAGUGUCUGAUUCACACAUCCUGACAGUCUGAAACACGUGGCUAAGAAUCCAGGCCACCCUGUAUUCAAGGAGACGUGACAAGAGGUCCCCUUUGAGGCUGCCCACAGACACCUAGAGACAGUACCCCUCCAUAGGCACUGCCCCCACAUCGCUGGACUGGACCCUCCUGCCCCCUCACCGCCUCAGACGCCUCAAAGGGAAUGAAGUGUCGUCUGUGGUUGGAUCUAAUCACUGAAACAGCAUCUGAGUAAAUUUCCACUCAGCUUCAUUCACUCAAACCUUUCCUUCAGAUCUGGGAGGCAGGUUAAAUGGCUCUUGGGUAUCGAUAGGGAAGCUUUAGUUGUGAUAGAACGGUCCUAAGCCAGGGUGUUUGAGCUUCCUCCUUGAUGUAUGCGCAAGAGCAGCACAGGAAGCUAGUUUAUCUCCUUGACCUGAAGCAGGGCAGGGUCACUGUCCCCAGCAUUAUCCUGUGGGGAGCAGAGUUCAGUGGAAGCGCAAACAUGGGCCCAAUAAACCAUAGACUCUCAGACUGGGAGGGAUUUAGAGCUUAGAGAUCUGGACUCUGUUCUAUAGAUGAAGCUAAAGUUGUGGGGGUAAAGGAACUGGCUGAGGGGCAAAAGCCAGAUAGUGAUGGAGGUGGGAAAAGAGCAGAAAUGAUUGAGGGGACCCAGAGCAUAGGGCUGGCCAGAUCGGACUGACCACAUCACCACAUAUCCCACGAGGUACUCAGCCUAGUAUCACUGACAUUUUGGGCUGGAUGAUUCCUCACCAUGGGAGGCUGGUUGUCCUAAGCACGGGUGGUGGUGGUUUAGCUGUGUCCCUGGCCUCUAGAUACCAGUAAGAACUCUCACCCAAUCUAUGACAAACAGAUGUCUCUAGAUAUGACAAAUGUUCUCUGGGAGCAAAGUCAGCCCUGGUUGAAACAUGAUGUUCUUUUAGCUUAACAUUUCAAGAUGCACUGUGACAUUCUUACUGUUGGUAGGUCUGUCUCACAUUCCGGUCUGUAAUUCUUUCAGUGGAAGAUGACUCUUUAUUGA